UACGUAGGGAGCAGGCGUUGUCCGGAUUUACUGGGUGUAAAGAGCGCGUAGGCGGGGCUGCAAGUCAGAUGUGAAAUGCAGAGGCUUAACCUCUGAGCUGCAUUUGAAACUGUAGUUCUUGAGUAUCGGAGAGGCAGGCGGAAUUCCUAGUGUAGCGGUGAAAUGCGUAGAUAUUAGGAGGAACACCAGUGGCGAAGGCGGCCUGCUGGACGACAACUGACGCUGAGGCGCGAAAGCGUGGGGAUCAAAC
RNAcentral lists this ribosomal RNA (250 nucleotides) under uncultured prokaryote. RNAcentral's name for it is "partial 16S ribosomal RNA". It matches the Rfam family "Bacterial small subunit ribosomal RNA", at positions 524 to 773 of the family's 1533-position model. The record is from RNAcentral.